AUUGAACGCUGGCGGCAGGCCUAACACAUGCAAGUCGAACGAGUGGAGGAUGGGUGAGUAAUGUCUGGGAAACUGCGCGAUGGAGGGGGAUAACUACUGGAAACGGUAGCUAAUACCGCAUAAUAUCGGAUGUGCCCAGAUGGGAUGAGCUAGUAGGGGGGGUAAUGGCUCACCUAGGCGACGAUCCCUAGCUGGUCUGAGAGGAUGACCAGCCACACUGGAACUGAGACACGGCCCAGACUCCGACGUGAGGCAGCAGUGGGGAAGAUUGGACAAUGGGCGCAAGUCUGAUGCAGCCAUGCCGCGUGUAUGAAGAAGGCCUUCGGGUUGUAAAGUACUUUCAGCGAGGAGGCGGUACUCGCAGAAGAAGCAUCGGCUAACUCCGUGCCAGCAGCCGCGGUAAUAC
RNAcentral lists this ribosomal RNA (406 nucleotides) under uncultured bacterium. Its description in RNAcentral is "partial 16S ribosomal RNA". It matches the Rfam family "Bacterial small subunit ribosomal RNA", at positions 30 to 526 of the family's 1533-position model. The record is from RNAcentral.